CCUACGGGAGGCAGCAGUGGGGAAUAUUGCACAAUGGGGGAAACCCUGAUGCAGCGACGCCGCGUGAGUGAAGAAGUAAUUCGUUAUGUAAAGCUCUAUUAGCAGGGAAGUAAAUUACGGUACCUGUGCAUUAAUCUCCGGCUAACUUCGUUCCAGCAGCCGCGGCAAUACGUAGGGGGCAAGCGUUAUCCGGAUUUACUGGGUGUAAAGGGAGCGUAGACGGCAGGUCAAGUCUGGAGUGAAAGGCGGGGGCUCAACCCCCGGACUGCACUGGAAACUGUAAGGCUGGAGUGCAGGAGAGGUAAGUGGAAUUCCUGGUGUAGCGGUGAAAUGCGUAGAUAUUAGGAGGAACACCAGUGGCGAAGGCAGCUUACUGGACUGUAACUGACGUUGAGGCUCGAAAGCGUGGGGAGCAAACAGGAUUAGAUACCCGAGUAGUC
Molecule: ribosomal RNA, 440 nt
Filed under: uncultured bacterium
Lineage: Bacteria
Description: partial 16S ribosomal RNA
Rfam family: Bacterial small subunit ribosomal RNA
Source: RNAcentral